AAUCCAUGAUGAGGACACCUCAGAAGGUCUUUAAAUCGCUCCCAUGCAACAUACAGUGUCUCAAGCUCAAAUUGAGCAAAAGAAGAGAUGUCAUUCCUCAACUU
This is a non-coding RNA of Gossypium hirsutum (cotton), 104 nucleotides long. NCBI's taxonomy places the organism in Eukaryota, Viridiplantae, Streptophyta, Magnoliopsida, Malvales, Malvaceae. The record is from Rfam.